RNAcentral lists this long non-coding RNA (682 nucleotides) under Anas platyrhynchos (mallard). RNAcentral's name for it is "lncRNA (ENSAPLG00020010606.1)". Lineage: Eukaryota; Metazoa; Chordata; Aves; Anseriformes; Anatidae. The record is from RNAcentral.
GAGAUUGGAAAGACAUGGGGGAAGGCCAAGAGCUGAAAGCCAGGAAAGCCCCGUUCCCACUGCUCUGGGAGUCCUUAGCUGCUGCUAUCUGCCUGAAGCUGUGGGUAUGGGGCCGGUCUGAAGGUGGCUGUUCUCAACACACAGCACCUGCAGCCACCACACCUGUUCUGCAGUGUGUCUGCAGGUGGAAACUCACCUGUGCGUGAUACCCAUCCUGUGGUCUCCACAGGUGUUAUUUGGCCUCUUGCGUAGGCUCCGAAAUCUCAAACCCUUUCCUGCAGGCAAGGAAAAAGACCAGAACCACUUGGAUUUAACACUCUGCAGCUUCCAUGACAAGGUACUCAGGUCUUGCUAGAAUGAGUGGGAUUAAAAUCAAUUAUACAACCCCCCAGACCAGAUGAACUUGCUGUAGGAAUCUCCCCGAAACAAAGCGAUGUACGCAGCAUUACUUCCUUCCCGUGCCAACAUAAUGAACGUGGAAAUGAGUGUCCUUGAUGAAGAGCCACGGGGGUCAGCCUCUGACAGAGGCCAGCAGUGGCCAGCAUGUGGUGCUCAGUCCCUGCCUCUGUCUGCUCGGGAAGCUCAGAACUCAGAGCUCGAAAUGGUGAAGGAUGUGGCUGUUUCCUGCCUGACUCAGGACAGUUUAAUAUCAGGGUCCCAAAUGCAGUAUUCACCCAAAUGA